CCCGCCGCCCAGCGGUGUGUCUGUUCUCAUCAGUUUAAGGUCUGAUAUGUCCUUGAUGUGAGGACUGUAUAUUAGCUUGAUUUUUGAAACGGGGGGGGGGGGGGACUAGAACAGAAGCUUGUUGUGUCUGCCCCAGGCAUCCACCUGGUAUUGCAGUGCUUGCAGGAACGGGGGGGCCCUCC
Gopherus evgoodei (Goodes thornscrub tortoise) is the source of this 182-nucleotide small nuclear RNA. Its record names the gene U2. It matches the Rfam family "U2 spliceosomal RNA". From Rfam's summary of the family: U2 is a small nuclear RNA (snRNA) component of the spliceosome (involved in pre-mRNA splicing). Complementary binding between U2 snRNA (in an area lying towards the 5' end but 3' to hairpin I) and the branchpoint sequence (BPS) of the intron results the bulging out of an unpaired adenosine, on the BPS, which initiates a nucleophilic attack at the intronic 5' splice site, thus starting the first of two transesterification reactions that mediate splicing. NCBI's taxonomy places the organism in Eukaryota, Metazoa, Chordata, Testudines, Testudinidae. The record is from Ensembl.